RNAcentral lists this ribosomal RNA (211 nucleotides) under uncultured Pseudomonas sp. RNAcentral's name for it is "partial 16S ribosomal RNA". It matches the Rfam family "Bacterial small subunit ribosomal RNA", at positions 142 to 355 of the family's 1533-position model. Lineage: Bacteria; Pseudomonadati; Pseudomonadota; Gammaproteobacteria; Pseudomonadales; Pseudomonadaceae. The record is from RNAcentral.
ACGAACGUUUCGAAAGGAACGCUAAUACCGCAUACGUCCUACGGGAGAAAGCAGGGACCUUCGGGCCUUGCACUAUCAGAUGAGCCUAGGUCGGAUUAGCUAGUUGGUGAGGUAAUGGCUCACCAAGGCGACGAUCCGUAACUGGUCUGAGAGGAUGAUCAGUCACACUGGAACUGAGACACGGUCCAGACUCCUACGGGAGGCAGCAGCC